RNAcentral lists this ribosomal RNA (497 nucleotides) under uncultured bacterium. Its description in RNAcentral is "partial 16S ribosomal RNA". It matches the Rfam family "Bacterial small subunit ribosomal RNA", at positions 28 to 507 of the family's 1533-position model. The record is from RNAcentral.
GACGAACGCUGGCGGCGUGCCUAAUACAUGCAAGUUGAGCGAUGAAGAUUGGUGCUUGCGCCAAUUUGAAGAGCAGCGAACGGGUGAGUAACGCGUGGGGAAUCUGCCUUUGAGCGGGGGACAACAUUUGGAAACGAAUGCUAAUACCGCAUAACAACUUUAAACAUAAGUUUUAAGUUUGAAAGAUGCAAUUGCAUCACUCAAAGAUGAUCCCGCGUUGUAUUAGCUAGUUGGUGAGGUAAAGGCUCACCAAGGCGAUGAUACAUAGCCGACCUGAGAGGGUGAUCGGCCACAUUGGGACUGAGACACGGCCCAAACCCCUACGGGAGGCAGCAGGAGGGAAUCUUCGGCAAUGGAGGAAAGUCUGAACGAGCAACGCCGCGGGAGUGAAGAAGGGUUUCGGAUCGUAAAACUCUGUUGGUAGAGAAGAACGUUGGUGAGAGUGGAAAGCUCAUGAAGUGACGGUAACUACCCAGAAAGGGACGGCUAACUACGUG